CGUGCUUUAUCAAUUAUAAAACACUCGUGCAGCGCACUCGUGUUUUAUAUCUGAUAAAGCACUGGGAGCCCAUCCCGGGUCUUAUUGAAGUUAUGUAUUAGAAUUACGUAUGAAAUAUAUAGCUCAGUGUUGAAGUCUGCGAUUUGCGGGCUGUGUGCGGGCAAACGCGAGCGCAUUUGCACGCACACAAAUAUUGCGGAUAUACUGAUGAUUGAGAACAUUUGAGUCUGUAAAUUUAUUUAUUCGUAAAAGUACAUUUGUUUUAUUUUUAGAAAUAAAUAAUAGUACAUUUUGGCAAGGUGCU
Molecule: non-coding RNA, 304 nt
Organism: Paramuricea clavata
Lineage: Eukaryota; Metazoa; Cnidaria; Anthozoa; Malacalcyonacea; Plexauridae
Source: the annotation of a GenBank genome assembly